Molecule: ribosomal RNA, 399 nt
Filed under: uncultured bacterium
Lineage: Bacteria
Description: partial 16S ribosomal RNA
Rfam family: Bacterial small subunit ribosomal RNA
Source: RNAcentral
AAUAUUGCACAAUUGGCGAAAGCCUGAUGCAGCAACGCCGCGUGAUCGAAGUAUGCCUUCUGGUCGUAAAGCUCUUUUAUCAGGGAUAAUAAUGACAGUACCUGAAAAACAAGCCUCGGCUAACUACGUUCCAGCAGCCUCGGUAAUACGUAGGUGGCGAGCGUUGUCCGGAAUUACUGGGCGUAAAGGAUGCGUAGGUGGAUACUUAAGUGGGAUGUGAAAUCCCCGGGCUAAACCCGGGAACUGCAUUCCAAACUGGGUAUCUAGAGUGCAGGAGAGGAAAGCGGAAUUCCUAGUGUAGCGGUGAAAUGCGUAGAUAUUAGGAGGAACACCAGUGGCGAAGGCGGCUUUCUGGAAUGUAACUGACACUGAGGCAUGAAAGCGUGGGUAGCAAACAGG